GUCGAUCGACACACCCCUGAGUG
Molecule: non-coding RNA, 23 nt
Filed under: Arabidopsis thaliana (thale cress)
Lineage: Eukaryota; Viridiplantae; Streptophyta; Magnoliopsida; Brassicales; Brassicaceae
Source: RNAcentral